Molecule: long non-coding RNA, 1472 nt
Filed under: Callithrix jacchus (white-tufted-ear marmoset)
Lineage: Eukaryota; Metazoa; Chordata; Mammalia; Primates; Cebidae
Description: lncRNA (ENSCJAG00000076721.1)
Source: RNAcentral
UGAACAUAAAGUGAUUAAUGGAAAGUAGUGAUGAGAAAAAUGAUGUCUGGAUUUUCCCCAGUCUGCUUCCAUUACUAUUACCACUGGCUCUGAACCAUUAUUGAAUAUAUUAGACUCUGGCUAAGGCAAUUGUCACCCAUACAGUAGGCUAAAGAUUGUCCUCUAAUUCAUCUUUUGUUGUUUUUUGAGACAGAGUUUUUGAGACAGGCCAUUCUUGCCCAGGCUGGAGUGCAAUGGCUUGGUCUCAGCUCACUGCAACCUCUGCCUCCUGGGCCCAAGCUCCUGUCUUAGCCUCCUAAGUAGCUGGGAUUACAAGAGCCCGCCACCAUGCCCAGCUAUUUUUUGUAUUUUUCUUUUUCUUGUAGUAGAGAUGGAGUUAUAAUUCAUCUUUAAGUUAUGUAUGUUAUCCAUGACUCUCUAGAACAAUCCCAAUGAUAAAACCAUUAAUUUAGCCAGCACAUUGAAUAAUUAUGGAUAACACUUGUAGUAGCCUUUUGUCCUUCACAGAGCUUGUGUGACUUGGACUUCUCACAGAUCUUCCUUUACCUGUGCUGCUGCACUGCCAUCCUGCUCUGUAAUGCUCUAAAUCCCUUUUGAAGAUGCUGAGCCAUCUGCUCGAGAUGGAGCCUGAAUAAUAAGAUGCAAACAUUCCUAAUAUAAUUUUAGUGCCCCUUUGUGCCACUGUCCAUCCAUUGGUUGGGGUUCUACUUCUGUCAGAGGCUAUAAAAAGAAAAGAGGAGACAGUUAAAUUUUCCUCUCCUUGCUCAUCCACUAAUGCUUAAAGAGCUAAUAAAACAGACAUUUAUUCUCAACUGCAGCUCAAUUGAAAUGUUAUGAUGUUUUUGGUGACUUCUGAAGGGUAAUGGAAAAUGAGUGCCACCUGUUUAUGAUGUGCCAUUGGGGAAAUGACACUUCUUAGAUGAAUUCCACUUAAAAUGUAGCAUUUUUUAAAUUUGAGAUGGGUUGUUCUCUGGAAGAGCAGCUGAUUCCUAAGCAUAUGAAACAAACAGACCGUGAGGCACACAAUUCAUUUGUUUCAUCUGUUUUUACAGUUAAUACAUGGCAGCCCAGUCAGUCUGGCCCAGUGCAGAUUAUGAAGAAGAUCCAAGUUAUAAGCUCCAACAGGUAAAGAGCUUUGAAGUCAUCUCUUUCAUCCUUUAAGGGAGGAAAAAAAGUGGACAAACUGAAAAUAAACAACUUUAUUGGAAUUUAUCAGAGAAUAGACAUAGCUGCCCCAAAGAUGGAGAGACAAGCAAUUUGAAGAAACACAGCUAAUGAAAAUUGCUUAGUUGGAGAAAAAGCUGCUGAAAUCCUUAAGACGAUAGAAACACUUAAAAAAUUAUUUUGAUGAAUGACUGGAAGCCAAGUGCAGACUAUCUUAAGAUUGAGAAAUGGCUGUGUGCUAAAGUCAUAAGGGACUUCCCCCUACACAUGCAUAUAAGCUUUCAUUCCAGGAAUCCUCCAUGUUCUCA